AACGAACGCUGGCGGCAGGCUUAACACAUGCAAGUCGAACGGAUCCUUCGGGAUUAGUGGCAGACGGGUGAGUAACGCGUGGGAACGUACCCUUUGCUACGGAAUAACUCAGGGAAACUUGAGCUAAUACCGUAUGUGCCCUACGGGGGAAAGAUUUAUCGGCAAAGGAUCGGCCCGCGUUGGAUUAGCUAGUUGGUGGGGUAAUGGCCUACCAAGGCGACGAUCCAUAGCUGGUCUGAGAGGAUGAUCGGCCACACUGGGACUGAGACACGGCCCAGACUCCUACGGGAGGCAGCAGUGGGGAAUAUUGGACAAUGGGCGCAAGCCUGAUCCAGCCAUGCCGCGUGAGUGAUGAAGGUCUUAGGAUUGUAAAGCUCUUUCACCGGUGAAGAUAAUGACGGUAGCCGGAGAAGAAGCCCCGGCUAACUUCGUG
This 433-nucleotide ribosomal RNA is filed under the name uncultured bacterium. RNAcentral's name for it is "partial 16S ribosomal RNA". It matches the Rfam family "Bacterial small subunit ribosomal RNA", at positions 29 to 507 of the family's 1533-position model. The record is from RNAcentral.